RNAcentral lists this small RNA (919 nucleotides) under Vigna angularis var. angularis. RNAcentral describes it as "Non-protein coding transcript". The record is from RNAcentral. Lineage: Eukaryota; Viridiplantae; Streptophyta; Magnoliopsida; Fabales; Fabaceae.
GCUUACUCGAUCUUAGUAUUUGUAAAUUUUUUUGAAGUUUACCCAAUUCGCAUUGCUGAUUGGAAUUUAUUUAUUUAUUUUUUAACCUCGGUAUUUUAGUUAAUCAAUGCUUCAUGUUAGGUAUGUCCCAUUGACACCCACCCUUAAUGAAAUUGAUCUCUUCUGGUACAGAAAAUGAAAUGAUCUUGAAAUCUGGUUUUUACUUAUGUUUGAUUUGACUUAUAAGGAGUAGAAACUUGAUUUGGUUUAGGCAUUAACACUUGGGUCAAAUAUGUAUUGUUUAAGCAAAACUAGUGCAGUUGUCAAGACUUAUGUAGAGCCAUGUUAAGGAACUGUUUGACUAGUGAUCUUAUUAUAUAUAUAGUUGAAAAGAAGGUGAUUGAAAUUUUUAGUUACUUAAGUAAGAUCUCACUUGAAUCACUUUUUAUUAUAAAUGAUUUUCUUGCACACAUAACAAUUCAUAAUGUGACAUUGACUAUUGCUUCUGGACAUCUCAGGCUAUUGAAGAUUUGACUAAGGCUUUAGAGUUUGAAACCAACUCAGCAGAUAUUUUACAUGAGAGAGUGUUGCAGCAGAGCCUAAUUUGAAGGAGUCGACUGCAAGGAAAAAAAUUUAUGACAGAUGUGAUGAAACUGUUAGAAUUCCAAUGGUGGGAAAAUACACAGGCCUUUCAGAUGCAUAUCUUUCUGUUCUGAAGGUAACUUACUCCUAAAUUAGUAACUGAACCCUUCUAUUUUUUACAUAAUAAUUUCCUCCUUUUGGAUUCUCUACAACUUCUUUUUUAUUCAAUAUGCAUACUGAAAUAUAAAGAGGUGAUUACUGAUCUAUCUACUGCAUUACUUAUGUUAGUUGACCUUUUGGUUUUGGUUUUGCUUUUAUGCAACCCUCUGACGAUUGAUUAAAAUAUAUUGCUGCAGGA